CAAUUCAAGUCAUUCAUUUCCAUAUAAUAUCAAGUUCAUACAAGAUCUGAUGUUCAUCAAUGCAUUCGAAGUCAAAGUCAUGCAUUCAAGUCAAAAACAAUCAAUCUCAUUCAAGUAAUCAUGUACUAUCCAUUAUAAUGCUCAUUACAUCAAAAAUACACAAAUUGGAAAUGUUGACUUUAGGCCAAUAGUUGACUUUUUGGCAACUUUGACCAAAGUCAACUCAAUCCUAAAAAACCCUAAAAUCCCAAAUCCUUGUCCUAAUCUUGACCUUGAUCUCCCAUAUUCCAUUUUGAUCUUGGAUUGGCCAAGUAAGCAUAAUGCUCCAUGAUUCUUGUUGUUGUCAUGAAACUUUGUCUGUCCAACACAUGAAGCCAUAACCUGCAGGAGCGGCAAAAGAAAACACAUAAGUAACCCACAACCUGAAGCGAGCCAGUAUGGAUGCACAAAGAAAUUUGCAUAACAUACAAGGCAAUAACAUUACCAAACAUGACCCGCAACCAUAAAAGACAGCAAACAACAAUUGAAAUGCCAAAUCAAUAACAUUCCACAUGAUGCAAUUAAGCCAUGAACCCAUUACACCAAGUGUAAAACCAUGCAUAUGGCCCACAGUAUUCAUAGCACAGGUCCUGCACCCUGUCAGUAGCAGUCUCCAAAUGCGCUAGGCCUGACUCAUGCUCAUAGCAACAAGGGCCAUGGCUCUUCGCAUACUCAC
Molecule: long non-coding RNA, 715 nt
Filed under: Lathyrus oleraceus (garden pea)
Lineage: Eukaryota; Viridiplantae; Streptophyta; Magnoliopsida; Fabales; Fabaceae
Description: Pisum sativum (pea) long non-coding RNA (PSAT_LNC033378)
Source: RNAcentral